Molecule: ribosomal RNA, 542 nt
Filed under: Talaromyces sp. DX-SER1
Lineage: Eukaryota; Fungi; Ascomycota; Eurotiomycetes; Eurotiales; Trichocomaceae
Description: eukaryotic LSU rRNA
Rfam family: 5.8S ribosomal RNA (bases 212-365)
Source: RNAcentral
CUUCUGUAGGUGAACCUGCGGAAGGAUCAUUACCGAGUGCGGGCCCUCGCGGCCCAACCUCCCACCCUUGUCUCCUAUACACCUGUUGCUUUGGCGGGCCCACCGGGGCCACCUGGUCGCCGGGGGACGCACGUCCCCGGGCCCGCGCCCGCCGAAGCGCGCUGUGAACCCUGAUGAAGAUGGGCUGUCUGAGUACUAUGAAAAUUGUCAAAACUUUCAACAAUGGAUCUCUUGGUUCCGGCAUCGAUGAAGAACGCAGCGAAAUGCGAUAAGUAAUGUGAAUUGCAGAAUUCCGUGAAUCAUCGAAUCUUUGAACGCACAUUGCGCCCCCUGGCAUUCCGGGGGGCAUGCCUGUCCGAGCGUCAUUUCUGCCCUCAAGCACGGCUUGUGUGUUGGGUGUGGUCCCCCCGGGGACCUGCCCGAAAGGCAGCGGCGACGUCCGUCUGGUCCUCGAGCGUAUGGGGCUCUGUCACUCGCUCGGGAAGGACCUGCGGGGGUUGGUCACCACCACAUUUUACCACGGUUGACCUCGGAUCAGGUAG